UACGUAGGGGGCAAGCGUUGUCCGGAAUCAUUGGGCGUAAAGCGCGUGUAGGCGGCCCGGUAAGUCCGCUGUGAAAGUCCGGGGCUCAACCCCGGGAGGCGGGUGGAUACUGUCGGGCUAGAGUCCGGAAGAGGCGAGUGGAAUUUCUGGUGUAGCGGUGAAAUGCGCAGAUAUCAGAAGGAACACCAAUGGCGAAGGCAGCUCGCUGGGACGGUACUGACGCUGAGACGCGAAAGCGUGGGGAGCAAACAGG
This 253-nucleotide ribosomal RNA is filed under the name uncultured bacterium. RNAcentral's name for it is "partial 16S ribosomal RNA". It matches the Rfam family "Bacterial small subunit ribosomal RNA", at positions 524 to 776 of the family's 1533-position model. The record is from RNAcentral.